This is a long non-coding RNA of Ostrea edulis (European flat oyster), 2066 nucleotides long. RefSeq lists it as uncharacterized. NCBI's taxonomy places the organism in Eukaryota, Metazoa, Mollusca, Bivalvia, Ostreida, Ostreidae. The record is from RefSeq and is a predicted model, not a curated record. The transcript has 2 exons.
UAGAAUAAACAGUACACAAAGUUAAAAAUUUAACGCAAGCGCUUUCAUUUUAUAAUCCUCAGGCGUUACAUUUUAAAAUAGUUUUGAAAUGGUUUGACGUCAUAAAGGCGUCCUAACAUUUCACGUACAUAACGACGCCAUAAACGAAUGAAGGGAAAAGGAUUUUACGUUAAGCAUAUUAUGACGUCAUAGAUAAUAACAGUAAACAUAUUUUACAGUAAGCUAUUGAGAGCCGGUUUUAAGGUAGAGACCGAUAGCAACCACGUGAUCAGUAAAAAUCGUGUAUUUUCACGUGAAAUUAUUUUUCGGAAUUCCGUACAUCGCCAUAGAGUAGUUGAAAAACAAAAAGGGGUUCCGAAAGUACAAGUUGCUGUGACUGAAUCGAUGAUUGAGAGGGUCGUCUCGACGAAAGAUAUAGAAAUUUGGCCAUAGUUUAGAUUAGGAAUACGUCAAUGUAAUAAUAGUGGACUAAAUGUUUCGUCCGUGCAGAAUGGCACUUUUUACCUCACGAAAUUCACCACCAUGCAUAGCUGCGCUACGUAAACAAAGUUGUUGAUGUAGCGUGAUCGUGGUGUCCGAGUGCUGCGAGUUUCAAUACUGUUUAUGUAGUCAUUGAGAGUUUAAACAAAGUUUCUUCUGAGAAGAGGAAUUCGAUGGAUGCAUUCAACGUGGACAACGAAAUCAUAAUUUCGUUUGGUAAGUGAAAAAAAUGGCAAAUUGAAUUUGUAUUCAACCCACUUUUCCUCUGCUAUUUCACAACGCGAUUUUAUAAUAACAUCUAUAAACGCACAAUUUGGAGCUGUUUCAUUUUUUGUGCAUUUAUGUAUUCCAUAUGUGCCCAAAAUAUAACUCCUACAUGUGCAUGUAAUUGUAAAUGGAUGUCAUGUAUAUGCCAGAUUUGAAAAAAAAUAGGGCUCUCACAAGUUUGGGGGGGGGGGGGGGGGGUUGCACUAAAAUUCUAUUUGGUAUAAAUGAUAGUACUUAUAGUAUCUUGAAAUUUCAUUGACCUAAGGGAUAUUUCAAAUCUGGGGUUUCAUGUUUCAUACAAGCAUGUAGGUCUACAAAACUUUAUUUAAAAUAUUUGUAAAAUCACAAGCCCCCCUCAUAGGCAAAUAAAUGUAUUGUAUGAAAAUAAGAUAUGGAUGUCCUUCUCUUGACCCACACUCCGUAAAGGAGACAGGUCUGAUAAAUCUAGAGUUGACUUGUUUUGAUAUUAUUAGAAUGAACUGGCAGUUUAUGAAAACAUAUCUGUCAUCUCAUAUUGUAAUAUGAUAAUUAUGAUGUUUAUUCACCUCAUUAAGGACCCGGGGGUGGGAGGGUAUGUACAGUUUAAAUAGAAGGUAACUAUAACAAUAUGAAAUAAAUAGCAAUCAUGCAGAUGUACUACUACUGCAAGAGUUCACAUUGCUGCACUGCACACAUUUAACAUACAUGUAGUGUUACAUAUGUAAUACUGAUUUCAGACAAGAUUUUAAAAAUUAACAUAAUAAAAUACAUGUUAUGUGUGUAUUUUUCAAUAUAUCAGCAUUUUAAAGUUCACUAAACAUGCAUUGAGACACACGAUUUUAAAAUUGACAUUGUCUGACACAGUAUAAUUAAUGAUUAAUACUGACUGUGCAAAUAUUAAUUAUGAUGAUUUUUUUUCUAAGCAUCAUCCUAAGGACCAGUGCAAGUUGAAAUGGGCUUCCAGCCAACAACUUCAACAGCAAUUUGCCAUGAAAAUCAGCAAGAAAGGUACUUCAUUUACAUUGAUGAUGUCAUAUCCCCUGGACCCCACAACUUCAUAGGUUACAGAGAAAAUUCAAGAACUUCUGCAAAAUAUGGGACUUGGAUAGAAUCAAUAAUGUAUUUGUGAGCCCCGAGCAAUGGAUAUAUUGUGCAACAUACUAAAGUGUGAAUUUAAUGGAAAACAAGUACAUGUACUCAUGUAUUACAUGUCUUUUUUAAAGACAAUAAUAUUGUAUAAAUAUAGAGGAAGUGUCAUUGUUGAUUAUUCUAAGUUUUUGAUAUAUCAAAAUCAGUAAACAUUUCUAAAUGAAAAUAAAAUACCAAUUUUAUAACUUUAA